Epinephelus fuscoguttatus (brown-marbled grouper) is the source of this 659-nucleotide long non-coding RNA. RefSeq lists it as uncharacterized. The transcript is spliced from 7 exons. Lineage: Eukaryota; Metazoa; Chordata; Actinopteri; Perciformes; Serranidae. The record is from RefSeq and is a predicted model, not a curated record.
CUAGUGUUCACCGGACACAAGACAUCUGAGCUGCGAAAGUCAUAAAGGCCCCUGAAAAACAAAAAAGAGCAUUUGAAAAUAGCACCUGUGCACCGGCCUCCUGGAGUGUGCUGUCCAUCAGCGGGAUGUUGUGUGCUGCUGUUGUUCGAGGUUGCCACGGUUCCACUCUCUGCUGUCAAGGUGGACGGCAGUCACCGGGGUGAAUGGAUGUGAAUGCAGGAGCAGCAUGGUCAUCACUGCAGGCAUACAGAGGAGUGGAAGGAAGGACAAUAGAGUAAUGUUAUGCUGCGCUUCCCUGGUGGGACUCCUGCCUGCUAUUCCAAACUGGUGGGACGGUUGAUCGUCAUCUACUGAAGUAUGUCUUGGCCCAUCAGAGGCGGCUGGCUGCCAGGACUCCUCUCAGCUCACUCCCCGAAGACCCCUGGCUCCACAGAAACAGGAAAUGAAACAUGGCAGUGCAGCAUGGAGAAUUCCAUGGGUGAGGACCCGCUUCCUAUGUCGACGGAAACGGCUUAUUCUAAGAAAAGACGGCGGACCCUCUGCCUGCUGAGGGGAGGACAAGAGCCGUGUUAACUGUUAAGAGACAGAGGAGGGAUCUGGGAUGCAUGUGACCCCUGCAGCAGGCUGCUUUACCUGUCAAAUCCCCAACAACCAGAGGC